UUGAAUGCUGAUGGAUGCUCAC
RNAcentral lists this non-coding RNA (22 nucleotides) under Rattus norvegicus (Norway rat). The record is from RNAcentral. Lineage: Eukaryota; Metazoa; Chordata; Mammalia; Rodentia; Muridae.